RNAcentral lists this long non-coding RNA (16382 nucleotides) under Lynx pardinus (Iberian lynx). The record is from RNAcentral. Lineage: Eukaryota; Metazoa; Chordata; Mammalia; Carnivora; Felidae.
UUUGUUUAUCCUCCAGUCGCGUGUGAGUCAGCCAGAUCAUGAUUUGUGGUGGUUUUGCUUAUGAAAUCUUACAUAAUCAUAUUCCUAUUGUCACGUUGGGUCGAGCAGUUAGGCCAUAUAGUGUUUUCUCAUUGCACAACGUCUGUGAAUCAAUAAGGAGAAAGGCUGAACAAUGAGAUGACGUUGGCUGGUCAGGAACCCGGCUCCUCGUCACCCAGGAGGCCGCUCUGCAGUUUCACAGAUACAGCUGGUGGCGCAGGAGCCGGGACACCCUCUAAAGCCACCGUGGCACAGGAUGACUGGGCUGGGUGGCGGCCUUUGGGAUGGGUCUCACCGAGGUGAUGUUUAAGAGAUGAGAGCCAGGGAACGAAAGAACAACAAUGACAACACUUCACACAGAAACCGACCAAUUUUUUUACUGCAUUCGGUACACGCUGGAUUCCAACAUGCUGGUCCAGAGCGUGGCUGGCUACAAGCUGGCAAGACUCUUACGGCUCCUCCGACAGGCUUUCCCUUCCCCGCCAUGUACAUUAUUUAUUUUGAUCCUACUCACUGUCCCAAGUCCAGAGGCAGUUAUUAAAAACGCUCUCGAUGCAAACAGUGAGUGGCUAUGACACACGGAUGAGGGUGGGUGCGACUUCCACAACGGAACGUGGAAUCUGGAGAAAUGGUCAGUGGAGGCAAGACGCCUCCUUAGUGGCUAAUAGUAUUAUGGAGCUCAAAACCCACAACUGUUUUUUUUCUGGUUUUUGUUUUUUAAUUCCUGGAGUAUAUUGAAACUAGUUGUUCCUAACACGAUUUCAUAUGGUAAAUAAAAUAUCUGACCUGAUUUAAACUUUGUUUGUUUGCAUACAUCUUUGAGGCGUGCACCUCAAAGUCAUUCGUAUUGAUACAGGAUGAAGAUUAUAAAUAUCCGCAUAAAAAGAGAAACGGUGUGACUCUAUAUGAAGACAACGACCAUCACAUUCCACAGCACAUCAUUGGUUAAUCUUUGAAUCGUCAAGCAUUAUUUAAAACAAGAGAGAGAGAGAGAGAGAGGGAGAAUAUAACUGAACACAAGCUCCACGACAAAACAAUCAUAACAACGGAACCAAACCCAAUUUCUCUAUUAAUCAUUUAAAAUUUUUACCUCUGUUUCUAACACUUUUCAUUAAUUGUUAUUUCAAGCUCCAGUAGCAGGAUCAGAUUUCUCCUGCCUCCGGGCAAGUGAGUUAUGAUCUGAUCUCAAGUUCCGAGGGAAAUGCUCAAAGUUUUAUUUUUCCCCAGUUGAAUAAACAGUACUAUGUAUAUUAUCUCUUGUGUUAGAAUAGUGUUGUCUUCACAUAAGACUCAAAUAAUGGUAUUAGUCAUUCAUUUCCUUGAACACAGACACCCUCAUGCGUGCUGACAGGUUUAUAAGGAUGUGGUGGCAGCCGUGGUUCUGGGAGCUGCUAGAUGACCGACUUUGAUUUCUUGCAGUCCUGAGCGAUGGAGCCCGGGUGUGUCUGGUUAUUGUCCGCUUUCUCUCCCAGAUGCUGGGCUUGUCUGGAAGAUUAAUACAUUAACAAGAGCUGAAGGUCCAGGGUUGCACGUCUUCAGACAUGUUUAUUAGCAGAUGGCACACAGGAUUCAAAGGUCACCACAAAAGUGACAUUUUAAAGUGAAACAACAAUAUUUAUGUUCAGAUAGUCUACUGAUGAGAUCAUGUGGAAAUGGUUUUGAUUAAAUUAGCUUAUAAAUGGUUGCCAAUCUAUAGACAACAGAAAAUACCGCGUCUGUUUACCAAAUGCUUUCUUCUCACGCUCUCACCUCUUACAUAUUAAUGACCAAAUGCUGUUUUGGGGCUAUGCUUAUUUAACCGGAGGAUCAAUGUAUCUGUUUUUCACUUCCUGGGUUAUCGGUUUGUUUUCAUUCUAAAAAACGUUAUCUCCUAUGGGCGUUUUGAAAUCUCACCUGCGAUUUUUAGGGCUUGGAAAGAAUUCGGAUUCCUCUAUGUAAAUGCAAUUGCUUUCAAUUUCUUUAGUAUAAAUUGGGCCUCUGGAGAGACCCAAAAUUCAGUCGCUCAGGUGAGACCUGACAUUCGAUAUCAUAAAAAAAAAACUAUGCACUCGAUUUCAGAAAUUCUUGCUACAGCUACAUUCUUGCCUUUGCAGUCCUUGGGAGCCACACUUUUGUGGCAACGGGUGCUUGUGUUUCUAGAACAACGUGGAAAACAAAAUGCGGUCAAGGGGAGGGGAUACCUCUUCUGGACUUCUUUUUCUUUUCUCUCUCUUGCGCCCACAACUUAGCAGGAGUGCGAGAGCAAGUUUGUAUGUCAGAAAAGGUUUAGACAGAAGAAACCUCAACAGUAUGAAGUAAAAACAGUAUUUUAAAAGUUGUGCAAGUCUCUAUAGUCAAUAAAACUCACAGAAAUAUUUCCAACAAAGGCAUUGAAAUGGAGAAAAAAAUGAUCAAUUAGUAGAUUAAAACUUUCACAUAUGUACUAGAGGAAAUGAAAAUGACCAUAUAUAUAUAUCGUUUCUCAUUUAUUUACAUUUAACUGUAAUAUGAAUAAUUUUGUAAGAUACAGAUAUUAUUGUCUUGAGGGUUUUUUUUACCUUAUUGUUACCUAUAUCUUAUUUUUUUUGCACAAUUGCAAAAUUAGAAAUGUAAGAAUAUAGCAGAAGAUUUACUCACUUUUCAAGAGAACCUUUUUCAAUAUUCAUUGCCCCUUCCAUUGGGUCCAGUCCUUGUUCAGAAAAUUGUUUCAAGGCACUUAAAGCUGCCUAAAAGUGAAAACAAACACACAAACAAGGAGAUCCAUUCAUUGACUUUAAUAUUAAUAAACAGGUAAUUGUAAAAGAAGGCUGAGAUGUAUAGUAAAGACUAUCAUUUUCACUGGUCUAAAUAAAUGCUUUUUUUGCAUCAUUUAGCAAAAUUACAUUUGAAAGGCUGUAUUAUCACGAAGCAAUUGUAUACUACGAGGGCCUUAUUUCUGUGGCGAAGUGGGAGGAGGUGGGGAGGAGAAUCUCCAAAGUUUCAUGCCUUAGCCCCCAUCCAUAAUUUUGUAAAAUCACAAAGUUUUUAUCUGCAAAUGUAGAAGCACCUAGUAUAAGCCUAUUAUAGUUUGACAUAUAAAUAUAUAUAUACACAUAUAUAUAAAUACAUAUAUAAAUAUAAUGUAUUAUAUUUUGACUAUAAUAACAUUUUCUCCUCACAUUACUGAAACUACACAUUCCCUUCCUUCAGACAAUGCAACGUCAGAUUUUCCCAAGUUAGGUACUCUUUCCAAAGUUAGCAUAAAGGUAUUGUUCCAUUUCAUAGCUAUCCCCAACCAAGUCACAGGAUGUGAGCAGAGAAAUGGGCCCAAGACACUCAUGCAUACAAAGGGGAUGGUACGAUGGUAUUCUGUGAGGAGAGAGAAAACGUGCACUCUUUGGGGCCCUGGGGAGGCAGGCCUGGCCACAGCAGAGCCUCCCGAGGUGUUGAUAUGCCCGUCUUGCGUGGGAUGCUGAAGGGUGUUGACAGGCUGGCUGAGCCUCGCUGGAUAGCUGGGAGGCACCAAAAAUGCGAUGCUGAUAAGAUCUACAUAACUUGUUGACACUCUUGUGCACGUUCCAAAUUGUUACUUCUUUGAAUAAGAAUUUGGUUCUCCUUCCCCUCCCCCAUUCCCCACCCCCUUAAAGCUCCAUUAGAAGGGCUUUGUUGAGUCUGAGAUAGGUGUGAGCGGCCAGGGUUGUUUGAAUCCUGGAGAUCCCACUGGGUCACACUUUGGUCAUCUGUAUCCUCUCAACUACCUUUGAAAAAGGGCUAACUCUUGCAGUUUCCCAAACUUUUAUCUGCCAAAGACCCCUUUUGGGUAGCUGACUGUGUGAUCCCUUGUAAAUUUCAUUAUUUGUAACAUUUUUUGGUUUUCAUUUUUAAAUUAAUAGACUUAAUUUUUUAAGAGGAGUUUUAGGUUUCCAGGAAAAUUGAGCAGGGAUGUCGGUGUCCCCCCCUCCCCCCCCCAACUCCUGGUCUUGGCCCAUGCUCGUACUAUGUAUACAGCAGCUGGCACAGGCUGACAUGGCAGGUAAGCAGUACUUUCAGUUGGGUAGAAGCAGUGUGGCUAUUUCAUUGGGGUACUAUUGCUGGUUGAAUUGUGUCCCCCCCACUACUCCCCAAAUCUAUAUGUUGAAGUCCUAACCCCCAAUACCUCAGAUGUGGCCGUAUUUGAAAACAGGGACAUUGCAAAUCUAAGUAAGAUGAAGUCCUACUGGAAUAGAAUGGGCCCAGAUCCAAUAUGUCUAAUGUCCUUAUAAUAAGGGGAACUUAGGAUGUAGACACACACACACACACACACACACACACACACACACACACACGGGGAGAACAGCCUGUGGAGAGGAAGGCAGAGAUUGAAGUGAUAGAACAGAAGCCAAGGGACGUCACCGAUUGCCAGCAAACUGCCAGAUGCUAUGGAGAGGUCUUGGAACAGAUUCUCCCUCACACCCUCAGAGGGAACCAAAACUGCCAGCACCUUGACUCUGGACUCCCAGCCUCCAGAACUGUGACAAGAUAUAUUUCUGUUGAUUAAACCACUCAGUUUGUGGUAUUUUGCUAUGAGAACUCUAACAAACUAAAAUAGGUCCAUCAUAAUUCCUCCUUAAGGACAGUAGAACCUCCUUUUCCUUUCUGUGAUGUUUCUUUUUAUUAUAUUUUUAUUAUAAAAAUAAUUUUCAUUAUAGGAAAAUCAUAAGAGGUACAAGCAAAAACAGUGUGAAAAUAUUCACAGGCCCAUCCACCAUUUACUACUUGGUCUAAUGUCUUUCCCUUUACUUUUCUAUCCCUUCCCCAUAUGUACAAACUUUCACCUGGAUCAUAUCUUCACACCAUUUUAUAACCUGCUCUUUUCAUUGAAUGUGAGCAGUUUUCCAUAUCAAUAAAAACACUUCAGUAGCAUUAUUUUGCGUGAGUGCUCAGUAUAUUGACUUUAGAGGUCCUUCUAUAUUCAGCCAAUCCCUACUGUUAGACAUUUAGGACACUCCCAGAUUUAAGUGAUUAUUAACACUGCAUCCAGAUUUCAAAUAGUUAAAUUUUUGCAUACCAUCUCAAUAACUUCCUUAUGAUAGAUUCCUAGAAAUUGAAUUUCUGGGCCAAAAAGCAUGAAUAUUUUUAGAUCUGACAUGAGCUUUUUCACCUCCCUCAGAGAGGUUGUGACCACAGUAGUAAUGUGAGGAGCUGAUGCUUCUUUAGGUGCUUUUGGAAUUAAUCUCUCAGAACCACUUUGUGGGUCAUUAGAGCCAACCAGUUUUGUCAUUUUAUGGCCCCACCUUAGUUUUCAUUUGUCCAUCCUGACCAUUUACCUUAUUCACUAGAUCUGGCUUUGAGUGAAGUUUGGUUGCUUUCAAAAAUUAAAUUGAGCCUCAAAAGACCCAGAUUUGGACAAUUCCCCUCCCCCAAAAGAAACCUGCAGAGGGAUUUGGCUCUCAUUUAAAAUCACUUGGGUAAUCUCUGAGGUCCUUCUAAGUCCUGCAAUGCUGGGUUGUGCUGGACAGCCUUCCCAGGUGACUAGCCUGGGAAAAGUCCUGUGGGUGUGCACAUUCUCAUGGGCUUGUUACAUGAACCUGAGCUGGAGUCCUGCCUUACAUAUGCAUGUACUGGGUGAGGCAUGAGGCCCACUCACUGCAAAGCUCUAAAGAGCAGUCCAUGCCUGACCUUUCCAGAUAGCCCAACUACAUUGGUGGGGCGGAGUGAGGGGGAGCACUAAUGAACUUACAGGUCUUUGUAUAUUCAACAAUUUUGAACAAAUGAACACCUAUUCUUUUUUUUAAUAUAUUUUUUUAAAUGUCUAUUUUUGAGAGAGGGAGAGAGAGGGUGCAUGGGCAUACGAGCGGGGAGGGGCAGAGGAGAGGGUGAGAGAAAAUCUGAAGGGGCUUCCGCACUGUCAGUGCAGAGCCCAAUGCGGGGUUCAAUCUCAUAAACUGCAAGAUCAUGACCUGAGCCAAAAUCAAGAGCCAGGCGCUUAAGUGACUGAGCCACUCAGGAGCACCUUUUUUAAAAUAAAAAAAAAGUUAAAUAAUUAUUCUUUUUUCUGAUCCAUUAGUAUGUGGAUUAUUGUCAGGAAUGCCAAUUUUUAUCAAUUGCUUCCCACGUGAACUAUUGUGGAAGGCUCUUUAGUGCCUGUAAAUUUAAAUGAGCAAUGUCAUAUUGCUGAAUGAGACACAUGAGAACCCCAGGGCUCCCUGGUCCCAAAAUGACAACCAAAAAUGACUUUUAAAAAUUUAAAAAACAACUUUAAAAAGUCAUUUAUAGGCUAAUUGUAGCCCAUUUUACUAGUUGUUGUUGGAAUACUUGUUGCCCAAAUACCAAGAACCAAAUGUCUUGCUACACCAAGUCCAGGACCCCGUGACACCUGCUCUCUUCUAUCCAACAUAUGAGAUGCAGGCCAGGUCUCAGAGAGCAGGUUCAGUGUUUUGGUUCUUGCAAAAUCUCCUGGAUGAUUUUACCAACAUGUCGGGCAGGUCUCUGUGCACUUUCAAAAUGCCUGUCGUCACUCAAAGAAUGUCCUGCAGGCUGGAAGGGCGGCGUGCUCUUUCACUCACUGCCAUGAACGGAUUUUCAGAAUUCUUGUGUGGCUGCUUCCCUCCAAAGGUAUGCUUAAAGGCUUCCAAACAAUAUUCCCUUAUUUAUCUGAUGAGAUAAUUUCAACCCACAUCUUAUUGAUAAUCCUGAAUACAAUUGCUUAUAAAUAGGAGAGGACUUCUUGCUAAUUUAUAAAAGACAAUGAAGACGAUAUAUCUUCUCUGUAAACAGUAAGAGCUACCAUUUGAUGAGCAUCACCGUGCCAGAGUCAUGAAACCAGGCCAUUUACCUGAGUGGCCUCAGGUGUUCCCACAGCCCGGCAGGUAGGUCCUACCCACGAGGAAUUCAGUAACCUAUUCAAAGGUCACACAGCUAGUAAGUGGCAGAGCAUGGAUUUGAACCCAGUGCACAUUCUUGACCAGAUCACUUUAUUUCCUUCCCACCUAGGCCAAUUUCAGCAUGGCUUUUUUCAAUAUUAUCAUUUCCAGAUCACUCUUAUACCCUCCUCCAUACUCAUUCUAUUAAUUAUUCCCCCACAAUAAUUACUGGAGGUAAGCUCAUACAAUUAUCUCUAUUUUCUAGACAAGGGAUUUAUCAUCUUGUGGGUUGACUUCUGAGGCUCUGUUCAGUGCUUCUGUAACAAGUGUAGAUUGGGCUAAAAUUGAAUUGCUAUGGUACUUAUUUUGUCACUUGAAUUACCCAACGGCUCCCAAACAAGGUGAUUCAAUUCUCCAUUUCUCAACAUUCUAAGGGUACCAAGUCUUGCUCAUUUAUUCAUCUCCCCUCUGUUGUUCUGAGAAGAGUUCAUUCCUCACCCGCCAGGGGUUGCUGGCCAGAGGGAAAAUCAAGCUGCACGGUUUGCCUGGGACUGUGGCAUGCAGGAAUGCUGCAGCAAGGGGAGGGGCUGGGAUGCUGGGACCGGGAAGAUGAACGGACAGGGAAAGGACGGAGGGCCUGGCUGUGAUUUAUAGAGAGUGAUAAGCUCAGUACUUUUAGGAAAGCAGAGAUGGGCAGGGGCUGCCCACCAGGUGCAUCCGCCCACAGGUAUGAAUGGAACACUGGCCCUGGCUGCCUCAUCUCUCACUUGUCAUGAGCUCAGCUGGGGAGCUGCCACCCUACCCCCAGUUCAUCAGCCACCACUUUCCCAGAAAGGAUACUCUGCAGAUUAAAAAAUUCCAUCUGUGAGAUGGGUGUGCUUCACUUUCCACAGCAAAGUGGCUACAAAAAUAGGAUAAUGCAGCAAUGUCCAAAAUAGCCACAUUACAUUUAGCAAGACUCAAUCAUCAGUCAUUUCAAAGAACAAUGUAUAAUGGAAUGGCUUUGCCAACAAAUGCUAACAUUUAAUGGUCCACCAAGACAUGUUACUUUGCACAUCCAAAUCUGUCCAGAAGAUGGUAAAAUCAACAAAAUCUCCAUGUUUCAACCAUUCCAACUGAAUAGAUUGUACUUGCUAGAGGCCAGUUAUUUAAAACAAUUAAGACUAUAUUAUAAAAAUGCUACCUGAUAUUAAAGGACACUGGAGUGAGGGAAAAGUCGAAUAACUCAUUUGGAGAGACAUUUGCAGCCUGCUCAAGGCACAAGUUCUACAUUGUCUACUACUGAGAGGGUAAAUAGAUAACGAGAGGCUCAGCUCCUACUGUCUGCAGUUCACCCCCUCAGCCUGGACAGUUUGCUGUGUGAUAAAUGUAAACUAAUGUUGGGGAGUCGUGGGAAGGAGGUAAAUCUGGGUUCCUUAAUGAGGAACAUCCUGAACGAUGAUUAAACCCAAGUUGUAUAACUUCCCACACACUGUGGAUUUGAGAAUUUCAAAGUACCCAGAACACAAGUACCCAGGACCCUCCAUACAGCUUCAGCCAUAAACAAACAGACAACUGAACAAUUUCAUUUCCAGGGUCAGAAAAUGUUUCCUACCAAAUAAAAACAAACUCACUCAGCAUCCAAGUGUGUGUUACUACGGUCUGACCAAGGGGAAUCUUAAACUUUAGCUUUAUGACAAUUUACAUGUUUUGAGAUUCUAAGAAAAGAGGAAAGAAAAGAAAAGAAAAAAGAAAAAAAAUCGGUACCUUCGAGGCAAUUCACGUAGCUUGGUUUGAAAGGAGAAAAAUUAAAGAAGCAUUUUAAGACAUGGAUGACAUUUCUUUUUCUUAUUCUUGUCUUUUCAGCUCAACACUUGUUCGUGUGUGUGUGUGUGUGUGUGUGUGUGUGUGUGUGCGUGUUUCCCUUAAAAGAAAGCAUCUACACAGAUACGUAGAAAUAUUUUUGUCCCCAAAAGAUUUUACAACUGUUUUGUGAGGAAAGCCCCACAGGUUCUUGAACAGAUGUCGCUACCAUUUCAUGUAUCACUUGUUUUGUGCGUAGUUAUAGCAAUACCAGAAACAAGAUGCCAGUAAGAUACUUUCCAUGCCUGUUUGUUGGUCUUGGUUUGCACGCAUGCAUGCGCUUGUGUGUGUGUGUGUGUGUGUGUCUGCAGAAUGGAGGUGAGUCUUCCCAGCCAUUUCUGCAAUUUCUAACUUUCCUCUUGUCAAUCAGAAAUUAGCAAAUUGUGUUGAAACCAGUGCCUAUUCCUCCUGCUUCCUUUUUCAGGAAUCAAACGCAACAGUAUUAAAUAAUUUUUUGAGACACAACAAUGGUCUUCACUGGCAAAAUGUGAAUUUUAACUCAUCCCUUUAUGACACACAGUUCUUCUCAUCUUUAAACCCAAUGCCCAAUGGAUACUUUUAUUUCUUUCUUUCCCCAUUUCACACUUUUCCCACCGAUUUUAUGUUCUGAAUCCCAGAAACAGACAGGAUGUUCCCAUUAAAGUCAAUGGCAACCACACAUGCCCGAAUGUGGCCUUCAUUUUUAAGCAAGUGCCCAAGGUUUGUUUUGUUUGCCUUUUCCCCCUGAGGCGCUUGUUCAUGUGGAACUCUUCCUGGGAGCCACUCUCACUGCUAGAUUCAUCUCAGAAUGCACACCGUGAUCAUAUGUGCAGCUCACUAAAUCAGGCUUCUUAAAUGAGAAAACGAUAGGCUUCAACAGCAACCGCCUUCACUUGUAGUUGAGGGCUCUCCUAACUUCUUGUCUCAACAAUCUUUGAGACUGGCUCCCUAUUAAAUCAUUUCAGCGACUGCAAACCAGCAGGUUCUUCAGUAAGCUUAGGGCUUAUUGCCCAAAGAACGUGAAUUUUAAUGUUCCUGAGUUAUCAUUUUCUUGCUUUGAAAGGUCUAUAACAAAAUGCCAACUCUCUCUUUCUAUAAAAUAAAAGAAACCAAAAAGAGAAAAUUGUAUUUCUAAAUUUUGUCACAUUACGAUAAGAUCCUCAGUCUAUCACAUUUCAGAUGAAUCAGUGAUAGGACUUUAAAAAUAAAAUGAUAAAGGAUUAUAUUGAGCUUUAACUAAACCAUUUGCUGUCCUGAUUCUAACAAUUUCAUAUAGCCUGCACUUUCCAUUUAUGCUCACAUAAACCUAUUGGUUCAUAUAAUUUCUGUAAAAUUCAUACUUUAUAAAUGACUUACUAUUGGAACAAAGGGAUGUCAGCCUGCUAAGGUAAUGGCUACUCAUCAUCAAAAAAUAAAAUAAUAAAAUAAAAUAAAAUAAAAUAAAAUAAAAAGAAGUCCGGCAGUGGUCUGAAGGCAUGCAUAUUUUAGACAGACUACUAAAGCAGAGAAUAGGAAUUUGACUCUAGAAUUUGGGGAAUUAGUACAAACUUGGGCACUGAAACUACAGACUUAGGCAUCAUCUAUAUUCUGUGGUCAGGCUCCUACAUUGGGUAAUCCACAUAGCUGCUCAUCUUGACAAUGAUAGAGUCAAAUUUAAGUGGGAUUAACGAUGCAGAGGAAUGUUUGCAGUGUGUUUAGAACAAAUUUUAGCAGUGGCAUCCAUGCUUCCAGCUCUUACUCCAACCAUACCGUUUCUGUUUUAAAGGAAACACUAUUCCUUUAAAAAUUCCUGUGUUGCCCUUUAUUUCAUUACUGUUGAUUCAACAAAAAAUCCCCUUUGUAAUGGUGUGUUACCCAAACAUGCUGUUGGGCACAAAACCAAGUGUCUAAGAAUGGCAGCAGCAUCACUCUGUGCUUGGCAGGAUAAUGCCCCCCCACCAAAGUGUCCAUGUCCUGAUCUCCAGGAUGUGCAUAUGUUACCUCAUAAGGCAAAAGUGAUUUUUCAGAUAAGACUGAGGUAUAAACAUUGAGAUGUGGAGAUUAUCUUGGAUUAUCCAAGUGGGUCCAAUCUAAUCACAUGAGUCCUUAAUAUCAGAGAAUCUUUCCCGAAUUUGGUGAGAGAGAAAGACAGGGCUGGGGAAAAUGGUCAGAGUAAUGUUGUUAGUUUUGAAGACAGAGGAAGGAAGACACAAGCUAAGAAAUGGAGGUGGGCUCUAGAAGCUGGAAAAGCCAAGAAGACCAAUUUGCCCCUCAAGCCAAAAAAAAAGAAAAGAAAAGAAAAAAAAGAACUGCUGAUACCUGGAUUUUAGCCCAGGGGUUCUCUAUAGAGAAUCUACAGAACUCUAAGAUAAUCAUUUGUUUUAUUACUUAUAUAUUAAAUUUUUUUCUUUUUUUAAAGUUAUUUAUUUAUUUAUUUUGAGAGAGACAGGUACAGUGUGAGUGGGGAAGGGGUAGAGAGAGAGAGAGAGGGAGAGAGAAAAUCCCAAGCAGGCUCCACACUGCCUUCACAGAGCCUGAUAUGGGGCUUGAACUCAUGAAACCGUGAAAUCAUGACUGAGCUGAAAUCAAGAGUUGGUUACUUAACCAACUGAGCCACCCAGGUGCCCCAAGUUUAUUUAUUUUUUGAGAAAGAUGAGAGAAAGAGAAAGAGAGAGAGAGAGAGCAUGAGCAGGGGAGGGGCACAGAGAGAAGGGGACAGAGGAUCCAAAGCAGGCUUCCUUGCUGACAACAGAGAGCCCAAUGUGGGGCUUGAACUCAUGAACCAUGAGAUCAUGACUUGAGCCGAAGUUGGAUGCUUGACCAAUUGAGCCACCCAGGUGCCCCUUAAGAUAAUGCAUUUGUGUGGUUAAGCCACUAAGUCUAGUAAUUUGUCAUUGCAGCAAGAGCCAGCUAAUACACUCUACCUGUCAUCUGGACAAGGAAGGGAGGAGAGCACGGCAUUUGGAGCCCGUCAGCCCUAGACUAAAAUUCCAGCCCUACUGUAGACAAGUUGUGUCUAUGCAAGUUACUUUAUCUCUCUGAGCUUCUUUUUCAUCAUCUGUAAAUUGGAGACUACAACACUUACUGCAUUGGAUUGUUUGAGAGGUUAACGUCUGGACCAUGAAUGAAAGCUUUUAUUACAAAAUUUUCUCUGUUGAGACCGACAUCCAGUCAUAAAAUUUUUUAUACUCUCUAUCUCCAUGUUAUUUAUGUCCAGUUUUGUAUGCAUUUCUAUCUUUUUUCUAGCAUAUUGCUUACCCAUCUUUCUUCCUAAGAGAACCCUAUCAUUAUGCCUUCCCCUUAAUCAAAAGCCACUACUAACUUCCAGCCACCAAAUAACAUUCUGUAUCCUUGGCCUGGCAUUCAAGGCCAUGCAUCAGCUGGCCCCAUUCUACUCUAUAACCUCAUUUACUGCAAUUUCAUUACAGUGUGUUUCCCAGAGUGUGAUGUCUGAGCCAACAGACUGGUCACCAGCCUCAGGAACACCUGGCAGGUGUCAGUGUUAUCAAGAGCUCCCCAGCCAGUUGGCCUGAGAGACACCAACAUUGCAGAAGCCCUGCCCACAUGGAUCUUCCACCCUGGUCUGUCUGGUCUGCCUCCUGUCUGAUGGAGACAUCUGAGUUUUUUUACCUCUACACCUUUGCUCCUGCAGUCUUUCAUUUUCCUAGGGUGGACUUCUCUGACUCCCAGCCUGUCUCCUACCCAUGAACUUCUGACAGCCCUUGCCAUUUGCCUCCCUGAACUGUGGGCUGUCUUCAACGUGUUUAUGUCCUGUCUCUCACGUAGUUGGUCAGCCCUUGGUUGGAAGAGCCAUUUUCCUGUUUGAAACUAGCACAAUGUAUUUACAGAAGAUCCUCAAGGAAUAUUGCUUGGUUGGUUAUCCACCAGCUUCCAUCUGGAGCCCCCUAAGACAGAUAAGUACUCACAGACACAUUUGUGCUUUGUCUUCUCUCUAUUCUGUAAGUGAGCAUCUUGUUCUAGCUGGCUUUUCCUUACUUCAGGGCAUCUUCCAAAGCUUCUCUCCUAUGAGGCUCUCUCUCCUUCUUUCACACACCCCUCCCAUCCUCACCCUCACACGGGCUCUGCAGCCAAUAUGCUUUAGGAUAAAUGGUCCCGAGAAAGUAGAGCUGGGUCAUCUCUAUCCAUGUAAGAGAAGGUUCUGUCCACAAUCUACCAAGGAAUACAGAUGAUAGUUACUGACUUUUUGAAAUGUCAACCAUUUGGGUUUGGCUUCUGUCAUCUUUGAUGUCUGUAACCAGUGCUUCCCCCUCCCUGGGCUAAUGUGAGGGCUACAAAGAAAGUGCCUGGGAAACCCUACCUGGGAGGACCCAACAAUGGGGUGGCACAUCCUGAAACAGGAACAGAGGUGAGCCUCUCCCACCCAAGGCGAGCCUGAUUCUGCAGGGCAAUGGUGCCUGAAUUCUGCCUUGGCAGCCCUUCUCCCCACUGUCCUAAAGGUCUCUUUGGGAUUUCUUGGUUCUUUGACAUCCUACUACGAAGAGAUGGAGAAGCAUUGCUACUGAAUAUGGACACACACUGCUCUGCCUAUUCAGAAAUUCCAGUUAGGUUUGAGCAUAUGAUUGAAAAAAAAUGUAUAGUUAUUUCAUAGUUUUUAUUGCAUUUAAUGGGUUCUUAGAUUGCAUGGCUGUAGGGGGUAGCUGGGAACAACAGGGAAUGAUGGUCAAACAAUAUAACCUAUAAAGUUUUGUUUAGUUUUGAACUUUUGGUUGUACUGAAAUAGAGUCCAAGUUCGCAGGCCUUGCUGAUUCCCUCAAUGAGUGAGGCAUGCAGAAGCCUGAUUUCUUUUCUUGGGGCAUUUGGUGGCCAUCCUAGUGGUCAAAUUGCAGCAGAGAGGGGGCCAGAAUAGAUCUUUACCUCCAUCCCAAAUGUCUCCUUAGCCUCUUACUGAUAUCUGAUCAUAUAUAUAUAUAUACAUAUAUAUAUAUUUACUUUUUAAAAUAAAAGCAUAUAUAUUUACUUUUUAAUAUAUAUAUUUUAUAUAUUUAUAUAUAUAUUUUAUAUAUUUUAUUUAUAUAAUAUAAUAUAAUAUAAUAUAAUAUAUAAUAUAUAUUUAAAAUAAAAGUAUAUAUAUUUACUUUUUAAAAUAAAAGUUCCAAACAUCCAAAAAAGUACAAAGGAUAGUGUAUACUGAACCCCCCUGCCCCCCCUGCCCUACCACCUAUCACUCAGAUCAAGAAUUAUUAGUAUUUUGGGGCACCAGCAUGGCUCAGUCAGUUAAGUGUCUGACUUUGGCUCAGGUCAUCAUCUCGCGGUUCACAAGUUCGAGCGCCACAUCAAGCUCUGUGCUGACAGCUCAGAGCCUGGAGGUUGCUUGCAAUUGUGUCCCUCUCUCUGCCCCUCCCCUUGUGUUCUGUCUCUUUCUUUCUCUCUCAAAAACAAACAUUAAAAAAAUUAAAAAAAAAAAAAAGAAUUAUCAGUACUUUUCCAAUCUUGUUUCAUGUAUCUUCAUGUCUUCUGUAGGAUUACAAAUCAGGUAUCAGAUAAAGACACAUGGCACGAUCACACCUAACAAAAUUAAGAACAAAUCCUUUUUAUCAUCUAAAUACCUGGGUCAUGUUAAACUUUUCCUGAUGGCCUCAAAGAUGUCUUUUAACGUUGGUUUUUGAAUCUACAUCCCAACAGUCCACACGUUGUAUCUGACUGUUCUUUUAAGAGCUAGGAGUCCUGUGGAAAGCAGAAUAAUGGCAAAGAUGUCCAGGAUCCAAUUCCCGACGGGACCUGCGGAGGGGGGAUUCACGGCCAAUCCAAACGCAAGUCUUUAACCUCAGGGGUCCUCUCCCAGCUCUGGUCAGAGGUGGUCACAUGGCGGUGCCAGAAGCCUCAGAGGGAUGUGCCUUACUAGCUUUGAAUGCCAAUGAUGGGACCACGAAGCAAAGAAUGUAGGAAGCUUACAGAAGCUGGAAAAGGCAAGGGCACGGAUUCCCCCCGGAGUCUCCAGAAAGGAACACAGCACCGCCGACACCUCGAUUUGAGCCCGGUGAGAUGGUGUCUGACUUCCGACUACAGCCUGUGAGAUGAUACGUAGGUGCUGUUUUAAGCCACCAUUCCUUUAGCGGGGCACUGCGAGUCACACGGGGGUGUGAAGGUCUGAUACCGUACUCUCCUGAGACCAGCUGGUGUUGGGCCUGAGAAGGAGAAUGUCCGGGAAAGAGAAGGCUGGGGCUUGGGAAGAAGUGGGGCCAGCUGUGCCGGGUGCCUUGCUGAUGCCACUGGCCGUCUGCUGGCCACGUCAGGCAGGACUGAAGGAGCUCUCGCCCCACUCCGAGCAAGCGGCACGCCAGUGUCAAGCCAGUCAUCACCUAAACCCUGUUUGGACCAGCCCCCACCCUUAGGGACCCAUGCAUCACUCUCCUUUUCACCCCUAAUGCUCUGUCCUAACCUCCUUUUUGUUCCUCAGCAGGGAUAAGCUCUUUCCCACCUCGGGGGUUCAGGUUGUCCGGUCCUUCUGGCCACCCCUUCUCAUGACUGGCCGCUUGUCAGCCUUCAGGUCUCAGCUCCGGUUGAGUUGGGGCGGGGGGAGUGAACACCCCGUCUAGGGUGUCCCCCCCACCCCCAGCAAAUCACAUAACCUUGUUCAUUUUCCUCAUAACACUUGUCACAGUCUGUGAUCUACUAGAGGAAGGGGCUUGGCCUAUCUGAUUCAAAACUGGGUACCAUCAUUCACUCAACAAAUAUUUAUGGAGAACCAGGCUCCACACGAGGUACCAGGAAAACCAAGAGCAACAUGCACAGUCCCUGCCUUCUGCGCUGGGUCUUGCAGCAGGGAGAAAGGCACGAGGCCAACACCAAUCUACCAAGAUAAUCGCUGUAAGGAAGAAUGUACAGCUGAAGUCAAACUGAGAAAGGGCACUCAGGUCUCCCUGGGGAACACCGGAAGUCACACAGAGGCAGCACUUGGGGUGAGAUGUAGGGUGAGGAGGACUUUUUCAGUGGGGCAAAUUGUGAGAGGAGGGUGUUGUCAGCAGGGGGGCCUCCUCGUGCAAGGCAGUUCAGAAUGGCUGGAUUGGGAGGUGGGUGGGAAUCGACAGGCACAGUGUCCUGGACAAUUUGAAAGGUGUUGUGUAGAAGACGGAAGCACCUUGCUCUGGGGAAAGCUGGGUCAAGCCCAAAAGAUGGAAGCCAUGGGCAAAGGGAUUUGGCCUCCAAACCGGAAGGGGACUGUGCCCCCUGGGAGUGCGGCUGGCUGCUGAGGUGGGGCCGGUGAUGUGCACUGCGUGGUUCCACUGGCUCGGUCGUCUGUCAGGUGGGAGGCAAUGCCGGCCGCGGGGGGCCAGAAAGGGCCUCUCACCUCUGGGGCUCUCUGAUACUCACGUCAGGCCUGCUUACCCAGACAAGGCCACACAGGUAAAGGACACCAGCACACAUACAGGAAGACAAGGGUUAUCGGGGAGGUGACGGAUGGAGCUGUGUAAUGUGUUGAGUAUGGUUUGCAGGUGAAAGUUGAGUUCUCCGUGUGAAAGGUAUAACUUGGCCUGAGCUUCACCAGUGGUUAUGUGAGAAAGUAUCUAUGCUCAACGUCUCCAUUUAGAAGACUGAAUCAUUAAAACCAUCCUAUCAAAGGCAUCAAGCGACGGAUGCAUCUGAGGGAGGUGUCCUGGGGGUGUCUGCAGUAAACAGUACUGUGUGGAACAUGUUUAGCAGUUGACCCUCCGGGGAAAAGAUCCUAACUGGUAAUCUCUCUGGCUCCCUGCUUACUGCUAGCAGGCAAGGCAGCAAAGUGGC